Molecule: non-coding RNA, 83 nt
Filed under: Clostridium chromiireducens
Lineage: Bacteria; Bacillati; Bacillota; Clostridia; Eubacteriales; Clostridiaceae
Description: c-di-GMP-II sequence
Rfam family: Cyclic di-GMP-II riboswitch aptamer
Source: Rfam by way of RNAcentral
AUUACAAUUGGAAGCUGUGAAGAAUUCGUUUAUUUGGGCAUAUUAAGAAUUUGGAGCUAGUUGUGCAACCGGCCAAUUAAAAC